Molecule: long non-coding RNA, 1177 nt
Organism: Cephus cinctus (wheat stem sawfly)
Lineage: Eukaryota; Metazoa; Arthropoda; Insecta; Hymenoptera; Cephidae
Exons: 6
Source: RefSeq, a predicted model, not a curated record
CUUCGUUUUUGUUAAGCAAAACACACCAUGUUAAUACCGGUUUCCGUCAAACGACGAAGAUUAUUUUGGAUUUUGGAUAAAUUACCUUUCCAAGUCGUUCAUUUAUUGAUUAUUCGAAGGGAUACUAAUAAGUUAAAGGCAAUAAUGUGGUUGCAAAGAGUUUAGCCCGACCUCAAAUUUGAGAGGCACUGGUCAUCAAGCAAGUAAUUUCAGAGAAGCGUGCGGAGGCGUAAUUCAACUUCGUCAUGACUCAAAAAUCGAUCCAGCCAAGCUACAAAGUUCUCGGAAAUUAUACACACCUUGGAACAUAUGCAUGCUAAUAGAACCAUUCGAAAGACGACUUAUUUUUUAUUAACCAAAAAGUGAGACUCGACGGUCUUUACUACGAAUAAACGAGGAAAUUUGAAGGACCCAUCUAGACUGCACUUCAUCCUCUGACAAUUCCAAUAACGGUGGUAUAAAAUUACAAGGACGUGUUAAUGACGUAAUGUCUACUCGAGAUGAAGGGUGAUGUGGCUAAUGUCAAAAUAAACAUAUCUAUAUAUGAACAAUAGCCACAUUAAAUGUCCCUCCUGAUAGUAUAGUAUAUACACAGAUGCAGACCAUAACCUAUAUGCAGAGUAUAAGUUUGUCAUAUAACCCAUCGCGGAACAAAACACCGUAUGAAGCUGGAUAGGUGCCUUGAAUGUGACGCUUCAAUCAGUUUAUCGACUCUAUAAACUUUACACAACGUAUGGACCUAAUCAUGACUGAUAAGAAACCACGUGAGACAACACAUAACUGAUGUACUGAUAUCCUCAUCCCAUAACAAAAGCAAGGCAUCCUUUUGCUCAAUAUCAAAGGUUUCGCAUAGAAAACUAUAUUGUCAAAGUUUAAUCAAUCAUUGAUAAAUACCAUUAAUUACAAUUAGGACUCCUCAAAGUCGUCGCCCCGAUUUGGAAUCCGACCAGGAGAAGCGUACACAAGCCGUAUGCAAUUAGUAAAACCACCACCCUGACGCCAACCGCUGACGAUAACUACGGCAUCCCCCACAUUUAUCAAUUGCUCUCUACGAAGGGAUUGCUAUGGACGUUUACCUUGGUACUGCACUGGAUGAACGCCAAAAUAAAUCUGUAACCAACGAGCAACUAUUCCGUAGCGAGUAAUGGCGAUUAUGGGACAUCGUGGUCUGUAAAUU